AGUGAACGCUGGCGGUAGGCCUAACACAUGCAAGUCGAACGGCAGCACAGUAAGAGCUUGCUCUUACGGGUGGCGAGUGGCGGACGGGAGAGGAAUACAUCGGAAUCUACUUUUUCGUGGGGGAUAACGUAGGGAAACUUACGCUAAUACCGCAUACGACCUACGGGUGAAAGCAUGGGAUCUUCGGACCUUGCGCGAUUGAAUGAGCCGAUGUCGGAUUAGCUAGUUGGCGGGGUAAAGGCCAACCAAGGCGACGAUCCGUAGCUGGUCUGAGAGGAUGAUCGGCCACACUGGAACUGAGACACGGUCCAUACUCCUACGGGAGGCAGCAGUGGGGAAUAUUGGACAAUGGGCGCAAGCCUGAUCCAGCCAUACCGCGUGGGUGAAGGAGGCCUUCGGGUUGUAAAGCCCUUUUGUUGGGAAAGAAAAGCAGCAGGUUAAUACCCCGCUGUUCUGACGGUACCCAAAGAAUGAGCACCGGCUAACUUCGUG
Molecule: ribosomal RNA, 492 nt
Filed under: uncultured bacterium
Lineage: Bacteria
Description: partial 16S ribosomal RNA
Rfam family: Bacterial small subunit ribosomal RNA
Source: RNAcentral